AACGCAGCGGCAGGCUAACACAUGCAAGUCGAGGGGCAACGCGAGUAGCAAUACUUGGCGGCGACCGGCGCAAGGGUGCGUAACGCGUGAGCAACAUGCCCGUAUCAGGGGGAUAAUCCAGGGAAACUUUGGUCUAAUACCCCAUAGUAAUUUUGUAAGGCAUCUUAUAAGAUUUUAAAGCUUUGGUGGAUACGGAUUGGCUCGCGUGACAUUAGCUGGAUGGUAAGGUAACGGCUUACCAUGGCUAUGAUGUCUAGGGGUUCUGAGAGGAUGGUCCCCCACACUGGAACUGAGACACGGUCCAGACUCCUACGGGAGGCAGCAGUGAGGAAUAUUGGACAAUGGAUGGAAAUCUGAUCCAGCCAUGCCGCGUGAAGGAAGAAGGUCCUAUGGAUUGUAAACUUCUUUUGUAUGGGAGCAAUAAGGCCUACGAGUAGGUUGAUGAGAGUACCAUACGAAUAAGCACCGGCUAACUCCGUGCCAGCCGCCGC
RNAcentral lists this ribosomal RNA (491 nucleotides) under uncultured bacterium. Its description in RNAcentral is "bacterial SSU rRNA". It matches the Rfam family "Bacterial small subunit ribosomal RNA", at positions 39 to 518 of the family's 1533-position model. The record is from RNAcentral.